This 415-nucleotide long non-coding RNA is filed under the name Gossypium raimondii (Peruvian cotton). RNAcentral's name for it is "long non-coding RNA (GRAI_LNC000498)". The record is from RNAcentral. Lineage: Eukaryota; Viridiplantae; Streptophyta; Magnoliopsida; Malvales; Malvaceae.
UGAAAUGUUGCAUUAAUAAAUAACAAUAAUGAAAAUAAUAAAGACAAUUUACGAGAAUCAUAUAAUAUACUACUUUAACAUUAAUAAGAAUAAGCAAAAGAUAAAUAAAAUAAAUAAUAACAAUGGUAAUAAUGCCAAGGUAUGCACAUAAAAGGACAACCCCAACUUAAAAAAAAACAAAUAAAUACAUAAAUAAUGUAAGGAAAAAUAGUUUAUAAAAAAAUAUUGAAAGUAAAGAACCGAAUUAAAACAUAAACGAAAUUUAAAGACACAAUUUGGAAUACAAUAUGUAAAUAAAUGAAAUAAUAAAAAACCAUAAAAAUAACAAUAAUAAUAACAAUGAAAGUCAAGAAUAAAAUAAAUAAAAUAAAAACAUCAUUAAAUAUGAAAAUCAAAAUAAAAAAGAAAUGGCCAG